GUUAAGGUGUCUGCAAAUUCCAGUUCUGAUUCUUUAACUUUUAAAGUCAGAUGCUGUAGUUUAUUUGCCAGGACAUAUAUUUUGACAAGAAAAAUAUAGUGACAAUCCCCAACACAGAACUGAGUGAGGCUUACAGAAAAAAGGUUGAUGGAAACUAGCUUUGGGAAACAAUUACUUCAUUAAUGUAACUGUCAGAUUCUGGAGACCAUUGUGUGUUGCCAACUGUUUGAAAGAAAAGGGAUCCCAAAAUAAACCUAAGGUGCAAAUUUUCUGUGCCUGGGCCUCGACUGUGAAAUGAGAUCCCAGAGAAGUUUUGGGGUACAGCUGCAUAACCCAAUUGAUGUUUAAUAUUUCAAUCUGGGCUUAAGAUCAAAAAGAGCAAUAUGCUUGAGAAGAGGUACAGGACUGUAGCUGAUGGAAUGAUAUUGGCUUGGAGAAGUGUGAGAAAAUGUAGCUGUCAAGCUUAUCAGAGUGGUAGCAAUAAUGGAGUCACAGAAGUAUCACUCACGUUGAAAAUCUUCUGUAGGGCUUUUAAAGUGCAAUCUAAAUAUCCUUCCAUAGCAGCUGUGUGUGAAAAAGCCUUUUUCUUCUUGAAAGAGUAAGGAGGUGUAAUAUCAUUCUCAGGAGACAGCAGUGCUCUGACCACAUGGAGCACGAGACUGUCACCAGUGUAAGACACAAACAGGCAAAGUCAAGCUUUGCAGCAGUACAAAAGGAGCUGCCCUCCAUAGAGACUCGUGUCUCAGCUCAGCUGCUCUUGCUGCUUCAGAGAGGCUUUAGGAGUCACUUGGCUCCAAAAGGAGAGACAGAAGAACUGGGGGGCUAGGAUGCAAGUUGAAGAAUGACUGCUGUGUUUCAGCCGGAGCUUGGCCAGCUCUGUCUGACUCCAGCAACUGAGAGCUUAAGGACAAUGAAUCAUCUUUGCAUCUUGUUUAGUUUCUGUGUUACAUUUCCUCCUACAUCAGAGUGACCAAGCUAAGAAGGGUUGCCUCCUUUCAUGCUUCACACAUUCCCUCCCUUCUCUUUCUAUCUCCUCAUCUGUUCUUUUGUCUUCCAUUUUCUCAAGGUCCACACCCAGCAGCAGAAGUGAAGAUGAUGAAUCUGAAGAAGGAGGGCUGACUAGGUUCAUUUUUUCCGAAUCUUUCCGGCUAUCUCCUUCUAUGCUCCUUCCCUCCGAGCCGUUGCCUCCCAUCCGGAAAACCUCGCAGUCUUCCAACAGAAGAGAAAUGUGCAGCGUUGAGAAGGAGAGUGGGAAAAAUGGCAGUGGCUACGAUGAAGACACCAGAGAAAGAGAGGAGCUGAAGUCAAAGGGAAAAAGGUGUAAGGUAAGGAGACCAAGCUAUGUCCUGUGUGGGAGAUUUUCAGUCGAUGUGCUGCCAGCAGAGCUUGGAGAGCUUUCCCUGUGAAGUGAGCCCAGGGAAGCAGCUGAGGCAAGGAAGAGCUCAGCUGGACACUGAGCUUCAGGAUGUCUUUGCAAUGGGUGUGUGGUGCAGACUUCACAUUUUCAGUGUGUAACAAUAGCAGGAGAGGACUUUGAAGGGUUUCUGGGUUCUCCCUCAGCACUUCCCUUUGCAUUCCCAAUCCUGGCCCAAGCUGCUCCAUCAGUCUGACUUGUCUUUUCCUGCCAGGUCCCCCAUUUAGUCCAUAGCUAAAUGUCUUGGGGCAUGAAUGGGGACAAGACUAGUUGCUUGAUGUGAACACUGUGUUCUACUCUUUGCAGGCUUCCUUGCUGUAUCCCACUGAAGGGGAUAAGAAGAAGGAAUCACUGGGACUGCCUUUGAUCCCCCCGAUACGCAGGGCAGUAAGUCCCGAUGUUGGCAGUGCUGCAGGGUCUCUGCAAAGCUCUCUGCAGCUGGAUGUGCAAGAGUCCCAGGAGNNNNNNNNNNNNNNNNNNNNAAGCCCAAAGACACCUAUGGCAGGUUCACCAUGACAAAUCUCUUCCCCGACUCUCUCUGCCUGGGUCAGUGCUGCAGGCUGAGGCUGCAGGAGGAGAUGCCUUCUGCC
Molecule: long non-coding RNA, 2004 nt
Organism: Cyanistes caeruleus (blue tit)
Lineage: Eukaryota; Metazoa; Chordata; Aves; Passeriformes; Paridae
Source: Ensembl